UACGGGAGGCAGCAGUGGGGAAUAUUGCACAAUGGGCGAAAGCCUGAUGCAGCUAUGCCGCGUGUAUGAAGAAGGCCUUAGGGUUGUAAAGUACUUUCAUCGGGGAGGAAAAACAAAACUAAUAAUUUUAUUUCUUGACGUUACCCGAAAAAGAAGCGCCGGCUAACUCCGUGCCAGCAGCCGCGGUAAUACGGAGGGUGCUAGCGUUAAUCAGAAUUACUGGGCGUAAAGAGCACGUAGGUGGUUUUUUUAAAGUCAGAUGUGAAAUCCCUGGGCUUAACCUAGGAACUGCAUUUUGAAACUGAAAUACUAGAGUAUCGUAGAGGGAGGUAGAAUUCUAGGUGUAGCGGUGAAAUGCGUAGAUAUCUGGAGGAAUACCUGUGGCGAAAGCGGCCUCCUAAACGAAUACUGACACUGAGGUGCGAAAGCGUGGGGAGCAAACAGGGAUUAGAUACC
This 456-nucleotide ribosomal RNA is filed under the name uncultured bacterium. Its description in RNAcentral is "bacterial SSU rRNA". It matches the Rfam family "Bacterial small subunit ribosomal RNA", at positions 340 to 786 of the family's 1533-position model. The record is from RNAcentral.